Mus musculus (house mouse) is the source of this 1040-nucleotide long non-coding RNA. RefSeq annotates it as predicted gene, 52055. Lineage: Eukaryota; Metazoa; Chordata; Mammalia; Rodentia; Muridae. The transcript has 3 exons. The record is from RefSeq and is a predicted model, not a curated record.
CCUUUCUCCAACAGGAAUUCUGCCAAGUACGAACCAUCCUGGAAGAGAGGGAAAAUUGAGAAGAGUUACACUGAUGGUGACAGGCUGCUCCUCAAACUUUCCAUCCACACUGGAACAUUCUGAACCUGCAGUGGCACUCACUUCCUCCUCAUUUCCUUGCCAGGCCCCUCCAGUGAUAGGGCCCAGGCUGCACAAUGAGUGGGAAACCAGCCGAGCAAGGGCUCUUGGUCUCAGGCCCAGGGAGCUCAGCUGGCCUUUCCCCCUCAUCCUCCCUACUGGUCCUGGGGGACUGCUGGGAGACAUGGUAUCUGAGCAGGCAGCCAAACCAGCAGGAUGGCUGAUAGAGAAUGCUCCAAUCAAACUAAUGACUGAAUCGUCGCACCAAGGAGGAGGUGUUUUGUGGAUUAAACAGUGCUUCCAGCUUCAAUCAAGCAACCCAAAUACAAAGAAAUCCUGUAAUUAUAGAAUACUCUAGAAGAGAAGAGAAAGAAAACAUGAGUGCCUGGGAUUUCUCAGGUCAUGGAUCGCACCCCCAUGAGGCAACACAGUGCUAUGUGGAGGGAGUGUUGCUUUGGUGGUACAUACAUGUCGAGGGAUGACGCCCCUUUACAGGACCUAAAAAUACAAGUUUCCAUGUGGCUGAUAUCUAUCAUGUAUGUAUAGAUUGAUAAGUUUUCAUGGGCAGUAAGAAAUAUUCCACAAAGAGCCACAUACAAUUUAAGCAUUAUUCCAGAAGGCUCAUAUUUCAACUACUAAUGAAAACUAUGUAAAACUCUGGAUCUACAAACACAGAAAGGUUAUCCCUUUCUAUCAAAAGCCAUAGAUGGGAAUUGAAGGUAAAAGGUACUAACUGGACUUCAAACUCAAUGGGCAGACAAAUAAACAGGUGUUAUCAUCCUACAACCAAUACUAGUUAGUGUUUCUAUUCUGUUUUCUGUCAAUGUACUUGCAGCCAAAUGUGAAGAAAUGAAAAGGGAAAAAGGAUACUGCUGACAUGUGCAGAAGAGUUGAGCCUGCCUGGAAGGCAUGCUUCCAUUUAG